Molecule: ribosomal RNA, 253 nt
Filed under: uncultured bacterium
Lineage: Bacteria
Description: partial 16S ribosomal RNA
Rfam family: Bacterial small subunit ribosomal RNA
Source: RNAcentral
UACGAAGGGGGCAAGCGUUGUCCGGAUUUAUUGGGCUUAAAGGGCGUGUAGGCGGCGGCGCAAGUGUCGAGUGAAAUCCCAUCGCUCAACGAUGGAACGGCUCGGCAAACUGCGUCGCUUGAGGUCGGUAGAGGUGCUCGGAACUCUAGGUGGAGCGGUGAAAUGCGUAGAUAUCUAGAGGAACGCCUGAGGCGAAAGCGGGGCACUGGGCCGAUACUGACGCUGAGACGCGAAAGCGUGGGGAGCAAACAGG